Molecule: ribosomal RNA, 253 nt
Filed under: uncultured bacterium
Lineage: Bacteria
Description: partial 16S ribosomal RNA
Rfam family: Bacterial small subunit ribosomal RNA
Source: RNAcentral
UACGUAGGGUGCGAGCGUUAAUCGGAAUUACUGGGCGUAAAGCGUGCGCAGGCGGUUUUGUAAGUCAGAUGUGAAAUCCCCGGGCUUAACCUGGGAAUGGCAUUUGGGACUGCAAGGCUCGAGUGCGGCAGAGGAGACUGGAAUUCCUGGUGUAGCAGUGAAAUGCGUAGAUAUCAGGAGGAACACCGAUGGCGAAGGCAAUCCCCUGGACCUGUACUAACGCUCAUGCACGAAAGCGUGGGGAGCAAACAGG